AUGAGGAUGAGGUAAGGGGGUUGGGAGAGGGAGGGGACAGGUGUAAGUACCGGGUUGGACAAACCCAGAGUACCCACCCUCUGCCCCAGAACUGCACCCCCCAUCCCUCCCCACUCCCACACAGAGACUGCCCAGAGGGUGAGGCCACAGCUUUGGGCCUAGCCUUUCCCUGGGGGCAUGGCCAACCCUGUGGGCUACUCUGAGCCUGCGGGGGGCCUGCAGCAGGGAGCAGGACCCCGUCUCCCCAGCUCAGCCAAGCCCCACGCGGGGCUAACCAGGCUGCCAGGGCCCCCAGCAGAUUACGUAAGGGCUUAUGCCGCCGCGGCUCAUUUGUCCGCCCCCCUCCCUCUCCAGCCUGGCGUGGCGCCAGGAGCCCGAAAACCCAGGGCUCCAGAAAUCAAUCUCGCGGUGACUGAUUAAGCCCUGUUUAGAACUAAUUGCUCUUUCGUGUGUGGGGAGAAUAAAUUACCUGCUUUAAUUUCGUGUCUUUAAAAUGCAACUGCAGGUAGAGAAGACUGUUAACCCUUUGCUGGGAGGGCCUGGCCAGGGGAAACAGAGUAGGCUGGGGUCCCCAAGGUGGGUCCAGGCCUGAGACUUUUCGGAGGUAUCACCCCAACUCCUCUUAGCUGCUGUGAACUCCACAGAGGGUUUGGAUUCCAGCAGGCCCCUCAAAAGACAUCCUUUUGCCACAGAGACCUCAGCCUUCACCCUCUUCAGUGCCCACCUUCAGGCCAGCCCAGCUCUCCUGCCUGCCCUUUGGGCUGCACCCUGCCCUCCUCUCCUGACCCACCUGCCUGCCCUCCAAGCCCCUUGCUGUUGGAGCCUUCUCAAAAUCCCCACAGUGUGUGGCAAAGUCCCCAUUCACACGCCAGAAGACCUAGGCUCAGAGAGAGGAAUGGCUUGCCCAAGGUGGCCUUUUCUGCUGUCCCUCGGUUCCUCCCUGGGCUUCACCUCUGCCAUCUCUCCAUACAUCCUCUUUUUAAUUCUGCUGUGCCAGUCUCCAGUGCUCCCCAUGUCACUGCCUGCUUUUGCCAGGCCUGUUCUGAGGACAGAGGAAGGCAGGAAGUCCACUGGCCCCACUGGAAUCUGGAGUAGAACUUCUGCUGGGCCUGCGGCACCCCACCUCUGGGGCCUCCCACCUGGUGGCCUCAACUUCCUGGUCCAGAGAUGGGGUUUCACCACGUUGACCAGACUGGUCUUGAACUCCUGACCUCAGAUGAUCCACCCGCCUCGGCCUCCCAAAGUGCUGGGAUUACAGCAGGACACCCUCAUUUAUCCUCUGAGUCGGACACUCUCCUUCCUCCUGUGGUGUGGCUGUGUUCUCUGAUGGAGCAAAAGCCGACUGAUCCAGCAGGACGUCAUCUCUACUACAAAGAGGAGGAUUUCUUAUGUUGCCCACGUUGGUUUCAAACUCCUGACCUCAAGUGAUCUUCCUGCCUCGGCCUCCCAAAGUGCUGGGAUUACAGGUGUGAGCCAACUUGCCUGGCCAUCUCUGUGCCAUCUUCUUCUGAUCCUGGGCAGUGGGACUAGGGGAAGUUACCUUUUCUGGGGCACAUUUAGUGGUGUGCUGGCAAAUGUUUAACCACCAGCUCUUCUGGAAGUUAAAAAAAAAACCUACCUGAUUUGAUUUGUAGCUGUUGCU
RNAcentral lists this long non-coding RNA (1642 nucleotides) under Homo sapiens (human). RNAcentral describes it as "HSALNT0291713". The record is from RNAcentral. Lineage: Eukaryota; Metazoa; Chordata; Mammalia; Primates; Hominidae.